Molecule: long non-coding RNA, 161 nt
Organism: Hibiscus syriacus
Lineage: Eukaryota; Viridiplantae; Streptophyta; Magnoliopsida; Malvales; Malvaceae
Exons: 3
Source: RefSeq, a predicted model, not a curated record
AAUGAUUUUUAAGAAGAGAUCUGUUGCAAAUAAUCUUUUCACUGAAUUUCUUUUUCUCUUUCUAAUCGUACUGGGUUGAAGCAUCAGAUCUAUAGAUAUACACUUUGAAGCUUCCAUGGAGGUCUUAAGAGAGCCGUACAACAAAAAUUCCAAGUCAAUGA